GACCGCGUAGCUCAGUUGGCAGAGCAUUGGGCUAGUAUUCCAAAGGUCGUAGUUUCGAAUCCCACCGUGGCCA
Molecule: transfer RNA, 73 nt
Filed under: Paramuricea clavata
Lineage: Eukaryota; Metazoa; Cnidaria; Anthozoa; Malacalcyonacea; Plexauridae
Rfam family: tRNA
About the family: Transfer RNA (tRNA) molecules are approximately 80 nucleotides in length. Their secondary structure includes four short double-helical elements and three loops (D, anti-codon, and T loops).
Source: Rfam by way of RNAcentral